CGAGCGGUAAGGCCCUUCGGGGUACACGAGCGGCGAACGGGUGAGUAACACGUGGGUGAUCUGCCUUGCACUCUGGGAUAAGCCUGGGAAACUGGGUCUAAUACCGGAUAUGACCUUCGGCUUCCUGGUCGAUGGUGGAAAGAUUUAUCGGUGCAAGAUGAGCCCGCGGCCUAUCAGCUUGUUGGUGGGGUAAUGGCCUACCAAGGCGACGACGGGUAGCCGGCCUGAGAGGGCGACCGGCCACACUGGGACUGAGACACGGCCCAGACUCCUACGGGAGGCAGCAGUGGGGAAUAUUGCACAAUGGGCGGAAGCCUGAUGCAGCGACGCCGCGUGAGGGAUGACGGCCUUCGGGUUGUAAACCUCUUUCGACUCCGACGAAGCGAAAGUGACGGUAGGAGUAUAAGAAGCACCGGCCAACUACGUGCCAGCAGCCGCGGUAAUACGUAGGGUGCGAGCGUUGUCCGGAAUUACUGGGCGUAAAGAGCUUGUAGGCGGCUUGUCGCGUCGAUCGUGAAAACUCGGGGCUCAACCCCGAGCUUGCGGUCGAUACGGGCAGGCUUGAGUACUUCAGGGGAGACUGGAAUUCCUGGUGUAGCGGUGAAAUGCGCAGAUAUCAGGAGGAACACCGGUGGCGAAGGCGGGUCUCUGGGAAGUAACUGACGCUGAGAAGCGAAAGCGUGGGUAGCGAACAGGAUUAGAUACCCUGGUAGUCCACGCCGUAAACGGUGGGUACUAGGUGUGGGUUUCCUUCCACGGGAUCCGUGCCGUAGCUAACGCAUUAAGU
Molecule: ribosomal RNA, 787 nt
Filed under: Nocardia sp. 3150
Lineage: Bacteria; Bacillati; Actinomycetota; Actinomycetes; Mycobacteriales; Nocardiaceae
Description: bacterial SSU rRNA
Rfam family: Bacterial small subunit ribosomal RNA
Source: RNAcentral